Molecule: ribosomal RNA, 515 nt
Filed under: uncultured bacterium
Lineage: Bacteria
Description: partial 16S ribosomal RNA
Rfam family: Bacterial small subunit ribosomal RNA
Source: RNAcentral
GAUGAACGCUAGCGGCGUGCCUAAUACAUGCAAGUCGAGCGAAUGGAUUAAGAGCUUGCUCUUAUGAAGUUAGCGGCGGACGGGUGAGUAACACGUGGGUAACCUGCCCAUAAGACUGGGAUAACUCCGGGAAACCGGGGCUAAUACCGGAUAACAUUUUGAACCGCAUGGUUCGAGAUUGAAAGGCGGCUUCGGCUGUCACUUAUGGAUGGACCCGCGUCGCAUUAGCUAGUUGGUGAGGUAACGGAUCACCAAGGCAACGAUGCGUAGCCGACCUAAGAGGGUGCGCGGCCACACUGGGACUGAGACACGGCCCAGACUCCUACGGGAGGCAGCAGUAGGGAAUCUUCCGCAAUGGACGAAAGUCUGACGGAGCAACGCCGCGUGAGUAAUGAAGGCUUUCGGGUCGUAAAACUCUGUUGUUAGGGAAGAACAAGUGCUAGUUGAAUAAGCUGGCACCUUGACGGUACCUAACCAGAAAGCCACGGCUAACUACGUGCCAGCAGCCGCGGUAA